UUGAGGUUAAUUAUAAUCAAUUAUAGUUAAAAGUAAAAGUGCAAUUAAAUAGCGCGCGCGAAGCGCGCGUCUGUAGUGCUAGUAUUACAUAACAGUCAUUCUAUUUAUGCAGCAGACAUUCACUCGAGAAAAAACAAGUCACGUUUAAUAGAUGCUUAUUAAAUCCCGUGCUAAGUGAUGCUGAAAACUACUUGCGACAGCCACCAUCAGCUUGUAAAUCCAGUAAUCACGACGUGGACCCUAACUACUGCAAAUGCUAUAAUUAAUUAAACAAUAAGCGCGUAAUCACUAUUAUGACGGUACAAAAGGUAUUCAAUUGGAAUGGCAACCCACGCACCGUUUCCUCUCGUAUCACAGCGUGACACCCAGGUUUACCUGUCUUAACCAAGGUUUUUCAAUUCCGCGAAGUCGAGGCUCGCAUCUUUCCUGAUUAUCGGCAUGUGUAUACGACAGCUUCGCGUACGUUUAUUUAAGCACGGCGAAUAAAACGACACUGGAGAUAAAUUGCGAAUGAGUCGAACGAUCAGAUGGUUAGAGCUAUUCCCCACUUACACCCACCUCCAGGUGGGUAUGAUAUAUCGGCGGCCGGAACCUUGUGCUAGUAGGGAUCAUGAUGCUUAUCAAAUCUAUGUCGGCUCUCUUGCGUCCGAGGCUCGUGUCAUGCCAUCGUAUCUUAAUCGUGAAGCCUUUAAGCCAUGUAAUCACCUCGAUUAACUGUCCAUUAUCCGCCGUGGUUACGGUCUCAUUGAUCUGUGCGUGUUCUAUAUGGCAUGAGCCGACCGUAUCACUCGCGGAUAUUCAUCAAAGCAUGACGGUGAAACGGGGGAUUGAAACUGAACGAAGGGAAAAUACCGAACGACGUGCGCAUCCAGAAUUCUGCCAUUGACAUCGGGAGCGUCAAUCUGACCUAAAUUAGGUUUAAUCGAUGGAACAUAAUCCACUGCCACUGAUUUGAUGAAGUUGAUUUCGGUGAUGCGCAAUAGGCGACAUUCUGAUGGCAGCUUUGACCAGAAACGGAUACACCGGCUGCCCGAAUGGCAAUCAUCGUGUGAACUGGAAAUUAUGCACGAGGGACAUACAGAAAUUAUAGUAAUUAAUUACGACAGUGCCGCUGCAACGGACGCGAACAGAAUACCAAUGGACACCAAUUUCAUCGUCUGGUGUAACUUGCCAUCAAUUCUCAUAACAAUCUGGAUUAGUAAAACCGUCAUACUUUUUAAUGUAGACUAAGUUAAAAUUUUUGUGAAAAGAAAAUUUUUCUAAAACUAAGUAAAAUAUUGCAUUUGACCAAAAAAAUCUGUUCACUUAAAUGAAACGCACAUUCAUGAUGAGAGAGACUAAAGAAUUUCGCUCAACUAUUCAUUAAUCGUCAUUCGAAUUAAUCGUGAAUUAUUCUAGCAAGCUCAGAGAAAGAAUCUGUUUCUCAUACACUUCUUUUCGAACGCCUGAUACUAUUAUCAUCUAUUUUUGCAGUUAACUGUAUUGCAAUUAUUGAUAAAACAAUGAACAAUCACUCAUGAUAAUUAUAUGUAUUAAUAAAAGAGAAUAUAGGGAAUAUAACUAUAUUUGAUAAUCCGUUUAACAGCGACUUUUUACAAUUGUAUUUAUUGCUUUUAUAAAUCGUACUUGUCGAUAAUUGCAUUUACAUGUUAUUAUCAUGGCAACUUGUACGGUAAUUAGUCGUAAUUAAUGUUCAUACGUAAAAUCCGCUUAUGUAUGUCGUGUCGUAAAUCCAUCGCACCGUGUAUUCACGCUACACUAAACAACCUCCGUUGAAACUG
Molecule: RNA transcript, 1781 nt
Organism: Wasmannia auropunctata (little fire ant)
Lineage: Eukaryota; Metazoa; Arthropoda; Insecta; Hymenoptera; Formicidae
Exons: 4
Source: RefSeq, a predicted model, not a curated record